UUUUUAAAUACAUCAUUUUGUUGACUUCUGGGUGUUUGGUGAUACCUAGUAAAUUUGCACUUUAAAUAUAUUUAAGUGGAUCUUCACUUCCUGCUCAAUCCUUUAUCUUAACAGGCAAGCUUCCUCUGAUUUGGAACAAAAUAAAAACAGGCUGGUCUUCCCUUGUACCUGACACAGGCAAAUUGAGCUGGCCCAGACAGCAGAGCUCUGUAAGGCAUGUUGAUAUUGAUUGCUUCUUUGUCUCAGGGGCUAUAAGAAAUAUAACAGAUCUCAAAGGAAAAACAGUGGCUCUGUCAGCAACCAUGGCACAGGAAGGUCACCUUUUCUUCGUGGUGCUAACAUCCAACUGGAGUGGCAGUAUUAUCAAAAUAAAAUCCUGAAAGGAGAAGCAGAUCAUGCUGGCCCAGAAAGUGGAGAACUGAUUGCUGAGAUUAAAGGCUUGAGCCACCAUGAUUAUCUGUAAUAAAGUGAGGUGUUAGAGCCUGUGGCCUAGUGAAGUGAACAUCGGGGCUGGGCGAGUAUGGACUCAGAGAUGACCAACUCUGUGUGUGUGCUACACUCAGUUCUCUCCUUCCAGCCAGGGAUGAGUCUUAGGCUCACAGAUUUGUGAAUAUGAGCUUGCUUUGUUGCGUCCAACAUAACAUGUUUUCUGCUUAGUUUUUUCCUGCAUGCUUGCUUCCUUGGUGUGGUUUCGCUUUCUAUCUGUGUUGGAUUCAUAACCUGCACUGGGGAAUCAGAAGCAAGGUCAGAGUCAAAGUCUUUUUGAUAAAGAACCAGGAAUACAUACCAGCACAUCUGGGCUGACUGUCCUUCUUCCCAAGGGAUGGAUCAAUCUCAGAGAAGAUGGUCCUACCUCUUGAUCUACAGGGAACUCUCUAGAUCAGUAGAGCCUCCUUACAAGUCACCACAUGUAAAUUGGAUUUACAUCCCUAUCAUCUAGAGGAUAGCAAGCACAGAGAACAGCAAAGACAAAAAAGAAAGGACAAAGAACUCAGAGGGUGACACAUUAAUCACUUUGGGUCAUUUUUUUUCCUGUUUUACCUUGACUCUGACUUCUAACAAAAAGAGAACAUCAAGAAGAAGAAAAUGAGAAAGAAAAUGAAAGAAACAAACGUCUUUGGAGCCCUGGUGUUGUCGUCGAGUCAAAUUUUUAAAAGACAGAGAGGAGUUGUGAAAAUCAGCUUGCUUAGUGGAAGUCCGCAGUGUUAUAUAAUCAGUACCAUUGUGCUUUAUCUUACAGAAAGUUAAACAUGGCCUGUGGUCACACAGUUACUAAAGAAUUGAACUGUAACCUACAAUUCUCUCUCUCUCUCUCUCUCUCUCUCUCUCUCUCUCUCUCUCUCUCUCUCUCUUUCUCAUAAAAU
This is an RNA transcript of Apodemus sylvaticus (European woodmouse), 1364 nucleotides long. It is a transcript of the gene named DNA repair protein REV1-like, with no coding region annotated. Lineage: Eukaryota; Metazoa; Chordata; Mammalia; Rodentia; Muridae. The record is from RefSeq and is a predicted model, not a curated record. The transcript is spliced from 5 exons.